UAUGGAGCUUUAACUAAGUAACUCAAGGAAAAUAAAUUCAACCACCAAGGGAUAACAACACUCCUUAUGAGUUAACAGUUUCGGUUGGGGUGACCUCGGAGAACAGAAAAUCCUCCGAGCGAUUUUAAAGACUAGACUAACAAGUCAAACCAAACCAUCGCUUAUUGAUCCAAAAACUUGAUCAACGGAACAAGUUACCCUA
This 202-nucleotide ribosomal RNA is filed under the name Ovis aries (sheep). Its description in RNAcentral is "partial 16S ribosomal RNA". The record is from RNAcentral. Lineage: Eukaryota; Metazoa; Chordata; Mammalia; Artiodactyla; Bovidae.